Molecule: unclassified non-coding RNA, 712 nt
Filed under: Hevea brasiliensis (rubber tree)
Lineage: Eukaryota; Viridiplantae; Streptophyta; Magnoliopsida; Malpighiales; Euphorbiaceae
Source: RNAcentral
UGCAUAGCAGUUGGGCAUACACUGCAAUAAGAAACAGAUACUUGCCAUUAGUACACAAGUAAAAGCAUAACUAAAACUAUGUACGGUAGGAUGUAGUAUAAGUAAAAAUAAGUAAUGAAAUAAACAAAAUAAUAAAUGAUUAUAUACAUUUUUUAUGUACUUUAUAUCAAACAAAUUUUUUUUCUCGUGCAACCAAACAAAGUAAUAAGUCAUGUAAUGUACUUGUAAUUGCAGUACAAGUUUGUCAUGUCCUAUCAAACAUAGUCCACAAGAAAUCAUCCCCAGUAUAGAAGAAGACACAAUCAAUGAACAAAUUUCAUAUAUUAAGAGUCUAUGUAAUAUGUUAGAGAGUAUUAAAAAUUAAUUUAAAAUAAAAUUUAAAAUGUUUUAAUAACAUUAAAAUAAUAAAACAAUUUUUCUAAAUUUCUUUUUUCAACAAUACUGAAAAUAUACUUUUCCUGAAAAUCACUUUUUUGGCUCUUAGAAUUCAAUGCCAAACGGUCCUAUUCAUGCUCAUAAGUUCUUUGACACUUUUUGCAGUGAACUUCUUGUUUGAGCUUAGAUAAAUCCUGUGUUUAACUAAAUAUGGAGUACUGAGAAUGGCGGGCCAUAAUCUAGAGCUAACAGAUUUUUCUUGAGAUCAGGCGAUUUUAGGAGCGUUUGCUUAAUUAUUGUAAUGAAACUUCACGUCUCAAAUUUUAUUGAAAUUUUC